RNAcentral lists this ribosomal RNA (468 nucleotides) under uncultured bacterium. Its description in RNAcentral is "partial 16S ribosomal RNA". It matches the Rfam family "Bacterial small subunit ribosomal RNA", at positions 28 to 507 of the family's 1533-position model. The record is from RNAcentral.
GACGAACGCUGGCGGCGUGCUUAACACAUGCAAGUCGAACGGAAAGGCCCUGCUUUUGUGGGGUGCUCGAGUGGCGAACGGGUGAGUAACACGUGAGUAACCUGCCCUUGACUUUGGGAUAACUUCAGGAAACUGGGGCUAAUACCGGAUAGGAGUUCCUGCGGCAUGGUGGGGGUUGGAAAGUUUUGUCGGUUGGGGAUGGACUCGGGGCGUAACAGUUGGUUGGUGGGGUAGUGUCUUACCAAGGCUUGGAUGGGUAGCCGGCCUGACAGGGUGACCGGCCAAAUUGAGACUGAAAUAAGGACCAGACUCCUCCGGUAGACAGCGAUGGGGAAUCUUGUAAGAUGGACUGAACCAUGAUGCAGCAACGCCGCUCGCGGGAUGACGGCCUUCCGGUUGUAAACCGCUUCCACCUAUGAUGAAGCGAGAGUGACGAUAAUGGGUCAAGAAGAACCGGCUAACUACGUG